This 72-nucleotide transfer RNA is filed under the name Pangasianodon hypophthalmus (striped catfish). RNAcentral's name for it is "tRNA-Gln". Lineage: Eukaryota; Metazoa; Chordata; Actinopteri; Siluriformes; Pangasiidae. The record is from RNAcentral.
UCCCUGGAGGACUAGUGGUUAAGCCAUGGCACUCUGACUUCUGCGGCCUGGGUUCAAUGCCCAGCCAAAGAC